Molecule: long non-coding RNA, 323 nt
Filed under: Elaeis guineensis (African oil palm)
Lineage: Eukaryota; Viridiplantae; Streptophyta; Magnoliopsida; Arecales; Arecaceae
Description: long non-coding RNA (EGUI_LNC051364)
Source: RNAcentral
CACCACAGAAAAUGAAAUCCAUAGGCUACUUUAUACAGAUAUCUUCCUAAGAUAUCCCAUCAGGAGAGCUAUUUCACAUCUCUUUCUCAGAGUCGAUGUCCACCACUGCCUCAUUGUAGAUUUUGGGAUCAUCUCUAUGUUCCCUAUCUUCCAUGUGAAACACUUUCUCUGCAUCCUCUGUAAGCAUACCAAGUACUUUUCAUGAGAAUGGAAGAUCCUACUAGAUCUUCGAGAUGAAAAAGGCACUAUAUAUACUAGCUCAUUAUGAAUAGGUUCUAUAGGUCCUAUGACUCGUUGCUCUUCAGAGACUCUUUCUUCGAGUU